GGUUCCAUAGUGUAGUGGUCAUCACGUCUGCCUCACAUGCAGAAGGUCCUGGGAUCAAACCCCAGUGGAACCA
This 73-nucleotide transfer RNA is filed under the name Nothobranchius furzeri (turquoise killifish). RNAcentral describes it as "tRNA-Val (CAC) (tRNA-Val-CAC-4-1)". It matches the Rfam family "tRNA". From Rfam's summary of the family: Transfer RNA (tRNA) molecules are approximately 80 nucleotides in length. Their secondary structure includes four short double-helical elements and three loops (D, anti-codon, and T loops). Further hydrogen bonds mediate the characteristic L-shaped molecular structure. tRNAs have two regions of fundamental functional importance: the anti-codon, which is responsible for specific mRNA codon recognition, and the 3' end, to which the tRNAs corresponding amino acid is attached (by aminoacyl-tRNA synthetases). tRNAs cope with the degeneracy of the genetic code in two manners: having more than one tRNA (with a specific anti-codon) for a particular amino acid; and 'wobble' base-pairing, i.e. permitting non-standard base-pairing at the 3rd anti-codon position. Lineage: Eukaryota; Metazoa; Chordata; Actinopteri; Cyprinodontiformes; Nothobranchiidae. The record is from Rfam by way of RNAcentral.